CAGUCGCCGCGGGAAUACAGAGGGUGCAAGCGUUAAUCGGAAUUACUGGGCGUAAAGCGCGCGUAGGUGGUUCGCCAAGUUGGAUGUGAAAUCCCCGGGCUCAACCUGGGAACUGCAUCCAAAACUGGCGAGCUAGAGUAUGGUAGAGGGUGGUGGAAUUUCCUGUGUAGCGGUGAAAUGCGUAGAUAUAGGAAGGAACAUCAGUGGCGAAGGCGACCACCUGGACUGAUACUGACACUGAGGUGCGAAAGCGUGGGGAGCAAACAGGAUUAGAUACCCGAGUAGUCCCUGUCUCUUAUAC
This 301-nucleotide ribosomal RNA is filed under the name uncultured bacterium. RNAcentral's name for it is "partial 16S ribosomal RNA". It matches the Rfam family "Bacterial small subunit ribosomal RNA", at positions 509 to 807 of the family's 1533-position model. The record is from RNAcentral.